RNAcentral lists this transfer RNA (69 nucleotides) under Phrynops hilarii (snake-necked turtle). RNAcentral's name for it is "tRNA-Met". It matches the Rfam family "tRNA". From Rfam's summary of the family: Transfer RNA (tRNA) molecules are approximately 80 nucleotides in length. Their secondary structure includes four short double-helical elements and three loops (D, anti-codon, and T loops). Lineage: Eukaryota; Metazoa; Chordata; Testudines; Chelidae. The record is from RNAcentral.
AGUAAAGUCAGCUAAUAAAGCUAUCGGGCCCAUACCCCGACAAUGUUGGUUUAAGUCCUUCCUCUACUA